UUUUUAAAAAACAUGUGUCCACUUUUGGGAGGAUAAAAGAAUCCUCCAAUGGAUCUUUUAGAAAAAGGGAAAAGAGGUGAACCUCUUCUUCUUCAAGGAAAUUCUUCAACAGUAAGAACAACCUUAAAAAACCUCACUCACCAAAACGGUGGAAACGUCAACGCCUCCACUCUCUCUCAAUUUUUGGCAUUCAAACUACACAAACCAUUUUUUCCUUCUUCCAU
RNAcentral lists this long non-coding RNA (224 nucleotides) under Lathyrus oleraceus (garden pea). RNAcentral describes it as "Pisum sativum (pea) long non-coding RNA (PSAT_LNC017228)". Lineage: Eukaryota; Viridiplantae; Streptophyta; Magnoliopsida; Fabales; Fabaceae. The record is from RNAcentral.